This 253-nucleotide ribosomal RNA is filed under the name uncultured bacterium. Its description in RNAcentral is "partial 16S ribosomal RNA". It matches the Rfam family "Bacterial small subunit ribosomal RNA", at positions 524 to 776 of the family's 1533-position model. The record is from RNAcentral.
UACGUAGGGUGCAAGCGUUGUCCGGAAUUAUUGGGCGUAAAGAGCGCGUAGGCGGUCCGGUAAGUCAGCUGUGAAAGUCAAGGGCUCAACCCUUGAAAGCCGGCUGAUACUGCCGGACUAGAGUCCGGAAGAGGCGAGUGGAAUUCCCGGUGUAGCGGUGAAAUGCGUAGAUAUUGGGAGGAACACCAGUGGCGAAGGCGGCUCACUGGACCGGAACUGACGCUGAGGCGCGAAAGCGUGGGGAGCAAACAGG